RNAcentral lists this ribosomal RNA (433 nucleotides) under uncultured bacterium. Its description in RNAcentral is "partial 16S ribosomal RNA". It matches the Rfam family "Bacterial small subunit ribosomal RNA", at positions 29 to 507 of the family's 1533-position model. The record is from RNAcentral.
AACGAACGCUGGCGGCAUGCCUAACACAUGCAAGUCGAACGAGACCUUCGUGUCUAGUGGCGCACGGGUGCGUAACGCGUGGGAACCUGCCCUUAGGUUCGGAAUAACUCCCCGAAAGGGGUGCUAAUACCGGAUAAUGUCUUCGGACCAAAGAUUUAUCGCCUUUGGAUGGGCCCGCGUUGGUUUAGCUAGUUGGUAGGGUAAAAGCCUACCAAGGCGACGAUCCAUAGCUGGUCUGAGAGGAUGAUCAGCCACACUGGGACUGAGACACGGCCCAGACUCCUACGGGAGGCAGGAGUGGGGAAUAUUGGACAAUGGGCUAAAGCCUGAUCCAGCAAUGCCGGGUGAGUGAUGAAGGCCUUAGGGUUGUAAAGCUCUUUUACACGGGAUGAUAAUGACAGUACCGGGAGAAUAAGCUCCGGCUAACUCCGUG